Mercurialis annua (annual mercury) is the source of this 3213-nucleotide long non-coding RNA. RefSeq lists it as uncharacterized. NCBI's taxonomy places the organism in Eukaryota, Viridiplantae, Streptophyta, Magnoliopsida, Malpighiales, Euphorbiaceae. The transcript is spliced from 5 exons. The record is from RefSeq and is a predicted model, not a curated record.
UUUGAAGCAACACCACCUUGAAAUGGUUGUGAAAAAAUGGCGCAUUUUUUUUGAAAUGAGGAAACCAGGCUUAGCAAAGCCUCAUCUCCUCGAAUGGAAACACUCUUAGCUACUGGUCGGGGUAAGAUCCUGAAACUUGAAAUAGUAAUAAAGCAUUAUAAUUUGAAUUUAAAAUCAGCUGAAUCCUUGCCUUUUCUUCUUAAUUUUAUAGUUUGAAUUAGCAUUUUCUAAUUUUUAAUUCCGUUGGGUGAUUAAGUUGAUUUUCAGUACCUAUAAUGGCAACACAUUUAGUUUACCAAUUCCUAAUUUCAUGACCUAAGCCUGAAUUUUUGGAUGUGUUUUAUAGCAUUAUACAUUCUUGAUCUUGACUGAGAUACACAAUUAGUUACUGAAUUUAGAGUUCUUUGUUUUCUAGUUUCAUCAUUCACCCUGCUCAUCAAGAAUUAAUAAGGAUGUAAGACCUGUAUUUGUAACAUUAAAUAACAAUCGAAUAGGUCCAUUACCAGCUUAUCACUUUUAAAAUUAUUUUGAUUUAUCAAUUUAAGUUUUUAUAGUUAUGUAAAAUAAUAUUUUGUUACAGUUAUUUUGUUAAAAUUAAUAGUUUUAUAAUGACUUAAAGUUAUCUAAUAGAUUACUUAGUUUCGCCUUGCAAAAACCCCCGGGGUAUUUAUCAUGUCCAUUGCUUAAAAUUCAGCACUUAAUUAUUAGUUCUAUAGAAAGUCAUUAUAUGUCUAAUUUAAACUUCACUGCAUAAUUCACCUCAAUGAUCAGUUCAGGAAAUAGUUAUCGAAUUUCUCUAACAGGCUGAUAAGUGUACUACACUACUACUAGCAAUGUCUUAUGUUAUGCCAAUGCAUCUGGCUAUCAUUCUUCUCUCAGGGAGGAGUUUGCAUGUGAACAAACAUUUAGGGCUGUCCUUGUUGGUACUUGUUAGAACAUCAACCUUCGACGCGAAAGCAAUUUGCUUAAAGAGUUCUGAGGCUCUAGUUCUUCCAGGAAGAUACUAUCCUCUAUAGUGCCCCCUUUUGCAUAUAGUCUCACUGAAAAUUAUAGGACUUAAUCUAAAUUUCCCACUAGAGGUAGACAGUUCAGAGAUAAUAAAUCUAUUGCUGGAGUUUAGAUACCAAAUUUGAGCUUUCAAUCCAAGUUAAUGGCUACUCAGGGUAUCCAUGAGACUCAGUGGUCAGAUCUUGUUUCCUCUGUGAUUCAGUUAGCAUUCUUAUCCUUGGUUCCUCUAUGAUUCAGGUGCAUUCCUUCCACUUGCUCGCUGAUGAUAUUUUAUUGUAUACAACCGAGUUAUAUACAGAUAAGUACUUUGUUAGUGAGAUGGCUACUCAGUGGCUAUCCAUGAGAUGCAGCAGUCAAAUCUUGUAUCCUCCGUAAUUCACCUAAAGCCUUGGGCAUAGACAAUAUACUAGGCUUUGAUUGGCCGGCAUCUUGAAGAAAUGAUUCGAGCGCUUAAUUCCUUUAUUUGUUGGGUGUGCUUGAUGAUGAUGCUUGACUUCACCAGUUGGAUCUCAAGCAGCAGAGAUCCUACUAAACAGGGCAUUUCAGGCUUAUGAUGGAUGAGUUUCCAGUGGCUGUAUGCCCUGGCAGUUGCAAUGGCCUUUCUUUCCAUUGAGAAAAGAAAAAGAAAAAAGAAGGAUCCAUUGAUUUCAAAAAUAAUAUCAUCUUCCCACCAACUUGGAUGUUCUGAGGAGAUCAUUACCAAUGUUGCUGUUCUCUCCCUUCAGGCACAAUGUGGAAAAGUUUCUUGCUGGAAUAAAGUUUGAAGUAAUUGCGAUAUGUUCAUUGAUGGUAAAUUGUUUAAUCCAUGGAAAGUUUGAAUCAAAUUUCUUAUGAUAGCAAUUGAGAAACAAUAAUCAAAUGCUAUAAUUGUUAUUAAUCGAUGUUAGUUUUAUAUGACACCAACAUGUUAAAUGCAUACAAAUAUUGGUUUUCGAACAAAGGAUCAAUUUACCCCCUUACGAAAUAUCAAAAAGUCAUUUUGAAUGAUUUUGGAUCAAACAGACCCCCAACUAUGUCAAAGUGCAUUAAAUCGGCCAUUGUUCCAUCCUCGCCCAUUCUCGAUCUGCAUUUGAAACACACUCUCCUGGUUAAAAGUCAAAAAUAGUCCUUACUAUUUUAAAAAAUUACAAAUUAAUACCUAAACAAUAAAAAAUUAACACUUUAAUUUUUUUUUUACAAAAAUUUCUCCUCCUCAGCUCCUCGUCAGGGGAGGAGCACUGCUCCUCACCUGAGGAGCUGUUGCUCCUCAACGAGGAGCUCUCUGGUGCUCCUCGUCCAAGGAGCAUUGCUCCGCCGUGAAAGGAGCAGACCCAUCUGGGUCUGCUCCUUCAACGAAAAUAAAAUAAAAAAAUUCAGUUUAAAAAAAAUCCGGUGAAAAAAAUAUUCCGACAACGGUUUUCGGUGUGAGUGGAGGGUUAAAUUGACUUAGUUUUACAUAUUUUAAGAGGGGAGGGGAGGGUGAUAACUCACUUUUUUUGGGUGUUUUUAAUACAAAAAUACAAAUUGCGGGUUAGUUUGACCCAAAAGCCUUUAAAAUGACUCUUAUGAUAGUUCGUGCCAAAUUAAGGCGGUGCAUUGAUCCUUUGUUCGUUGAUUUUCAUAUGCUAAAUCUUUUAAAAUUGCUGAAGAUGAUGAAUUCUUGAUUAUUAACAGUGCAGUUAACCUAUUAACUUUUGUAGUGUGAGUUAAGUAAGAAUUUCUCUAACAUAUAAGCAAGAGGACAUGAACAGAUCACCAGCUUACAAUGGAUGGAAAACAAAGCCAAAUUACAAUUUUGUCAUCUCUCCUUAUGUUUGUCAUAUCCGCGACAUAAACACUUAUGCAUCCCCUCAAUGAAGAAUUCUUAUUGAAGUAUCACAACGAAUGGUUGGCUCUACAUGGACGUCUCUACAAAGAUGCAGAUGAGAAGCAGAACAACACAUGGUGUUUAAGGAGAAUGUUCGACAUAUAGAAGCUUUUAACAAUGGCGUCCACCGCGGAUACAAGCUUGGUGUGAACAAGUUUCUGAUAUUUCUGAUGACGAAUUCCGCUCUAUACAUCACAGUUAUAUGAAUCAAAUUCUUCAGAACCAUCAAUAUUUUCCAAUAACUGUUAAUAUAAACAUUUGUUAAUAUAAAUGUGAUUGAGAGCCCGUGAGAUGGCUCGUAAUUGAUGAGCUCAAUUAAGAGCUCACGAGCUUGCUCCUAUAUUAACCCGAUUAUAAAA